CGCUCCAAUCGCGUCUAUUAAAGUUGUUGCGGGUAAAACGCUAGUAGAUGGAAGAAGGCGGGCAGGGGGUGGAGGGCUCUUCAGAGGAACUGCCCAGGUUUGCCAGUGUGAUUGGCGGAGGUUUCGGGGUGCUCUUCGUUGAGUGACUUGGAGCGCCGUCAGGUUUACUUUGAAAAAAUUAGAGUGCUCAAAGCAGGCUUUUCACGCUUGAAUAUUCGUGCAUGGAAUAAUGGAAUAGGAACUCGUUUCUAUUUUGUUGGUUUUCGGAAAUCGAGUUAAUGAUUAACAGGGACAAUUGGGGGCAUUAGUAUUCAGACGACAGAGGUGAAAUUCUUGGACCGUCUGAAGACUGACUACUGCGAAAGCAUUUGCCAAGAGUGUUUUCA
Molecule: ribosomal RNA, 386 nt
Filed under: marine copepod environmental sample
Lineage: Eukaryota; Metazoa; Arthropoda; Copepoda
Description: SSU rRNA
Rfam family: Eukaryotic small subunit ribosomal RNA
Source: RNAcentral